This 580-nucleotide ribosomal RNA is filed under the name Neoprotoparmelia isidiata. Its description in RNAcentral is "eukaryotic LSU rRNA". It matches the Rfam family "Eukaryotic large subunit ribosomal RNA", at positions 216 to 813 of the family's 3401-position model. Lineage: Eukaryota; Fungi; Ascomycota; Lecanoromycetes; Lecanorales; Parmeliaceae. The record is from RNAcentral.
GAAUCCCGUCUUCACCCGGCGACCGACCCCGCACAUGACCCCUUCGACGAGUCGAGUUGUUUGGGAAUGCAGCUCAAAAUGGGUGGUAAAUUUCAUCUAAAGCUAAAUACCGGCUGGAGACCGAUAGCGCACAAGUAGAGUGAUCGAAAGAUGAAAAGCACUUUGGAAAGAGAGUUAAAAAGCACGUGAAAUUGUUGAAAGGGAAGCGCUUGCGACCAGACCUGUCCGUCGGUGAUCAGCCGCCGUUUUCGGUGGUGCACUCGCCGGCGAUCAGGCCAGCAUCGAUUUGGGCGGUCGGACAAAGGCCGCGGGAACGUAGCUUCCUUCGGGGAGACCUUAUAGCCCGCGGUGCAAUGCGGCCAGCCCGGAUCGAGGACCGCGCUUCGGCAAGGAUGCUGGCGUAAUGGUUGCAAGCGACCCGUCUUGAAACACGGACCAAGGAGUCUAACAUCUAUGCGAGUGUUUGGGUGUUAAACCCAUGCGCGUAAUGAAAGUGAACGGAGGUGAGAACCCGCGAGGGCGCAUCAUCGACCGAUCCUGAUGUCUUCGGAUGGAUUUGAGUACGAGCAUAGCUGUUGGG